This 492-nucleotide ribosomal RNA is filed under the name uncultured bacterium. RNAcentral's name for it is "partial 16S ribosomal RNA". It matches the Rfam family "Bacterial small subunit ribosomal RNA", at positions 29 to 507 of the family's 1533-position model. The record is from RNAcentral.
AGUGAACGCUGGCGGUAGGCCUAACACAUGCAAGUCGAACGGCAGCACAGUAAGAGCUUGCUCUUACGGGUGGCGAGUGGCGGACGGGUGAGGAAUACAUCGGAAUCUACUUUUUCGUGGGGGAUAACGUAGGGAAACUUACGCUAAUACCGCAUACGACCUACGGGUGAAAGCAGGGGAUCUUCGGACCUUGCGCGAUUGAAUGAGCCGAUGUCGGAUUAGCUAGUUGGCGGGGUAAAGGCCCACCAAGGCGACGAUCCGUAGCUGGUCUGAGAGGAUGAUCAGCCACACUGGAACUGAGACACGGUCAAGACUCCUACGGGAGGCAGCAGUGGGGAAUAGUGGACAAUGGGCGCAAGCCUGAUCCAGCCAUACCGCGUGGGUGAAGAAGGCCUUCGGGUUGUAAAGCCCUUUUGUUGGGAAAGAAAAGCAGCAGGUUAAUACCCCGCUGUUCUGACGGUACCCAAAGAAUAAGCACCGGCUAACUUCGUG